This 424-nucleotide ribosomal RNA is filed under the name Verrucomicrobiota bacterium. RNAcentral describes it as "Verrucomicrobia bacterium partial 16S ribosomal RNA". It matches the Rfam family "Bacterial small subunit ribosomal RNA", at positions 355 to 776 of the family's 1533-position model. Lineage: Bacteria; Pseudomonadati; Verrucomicrobiota. The record is from RNAcentral.
UGAGGAAUAUUGGUCAAUGGGCGAGAGCCUGAACCAGCCAAGUAGCGUGCAGGAUGACGGCCCUAUGGGUUGUAAACUGCUUUUAUAUGGGAAUAAAGUGAGGGACGUGUCCCUUAUUGCAUGUACCAUAUGAAUAAGGACCGGCUAAUUCCGUGCCAGCAGCCGCGGUAAUACGGAAGGUCCAGGCGUUAUCCGGAUUUAUUGGGUUUAAAGGGAGCGUAGGCUGUUUGUUAAGCGUGUUGUGAAAUGUAAGAGCUCAACUUUUAGAUUGCAGCGCGAACUGGCAGACUUGAGUGCGCACAACGUAGGCGGAAUUCAUGGUGUAGCGGUGAAAUGCUUAGACAUCAUGACGAACUCCGAUUGCGAAGGCAGCUUACGGGAGCGCAACUGACGCUAAAGCUCGAAGGUGCGGGUAUCGAACAGG